GCUAGCGGCAGGCUUAACACAUGCAAGUCGAGGGGUAACAGGGAAGAGCUUGCUUUUCCGCUGACGACCGGCGCACGGGUGCGUAACGCGUAUAGAACCUACCUUUUACAGGGGAAUAGCCCAGAGAAAUUUGGAUUAAUGCCCCAUAGUAUUAUUGAAUGGCAUCAUUUAAUAAUUAAACAUUUAUGGGUAAAAGAUGGCUAUGCGUUCUAUUAGCUAGAUGGUAAGGUAACGGCUUACCAUGGCAACGAUAGAUAGGGGUCCUGAGAGGGAGAUCCCCCACACUGGUACUGAGACACGGACCAGACUCCUACGGGAGGCAGCAGUGAGGAAUAUUGGACAAUGGAGGCAACUCUGAUCCAGCCAUGCCGCGUGCAGGAAGACGGUCCUAUGGAUUGUAAACUGCUUUUAUAUAGGAAGAAACCUUUCCACGUGUGGAAAGCUGACGGUACUAUAAGAAUAAGCACCGGCUAACUCCGUGCCAGCAGCCGCGGUAAUACGGAGGGUGCAAGCGUUAUCCGGAAUCAUUGGGUUUAAAGGGUCCGUAGGCGGACUAAUAAGUCAGGGGUGAAAUCCAACAGCUUAACUGUUGAACUGCCUUUGAUACUGUUAGUCUUGAGUUAUAUGGAAGUAGAUAGAAUAUGUAGUGUAGCGGUGAAAUGCUUAGAGAUUACAUAGAAUACCGAUUGCGAAGGCAGUCUACUACGUAUAUACUGAC
Molecule: ribosomal RNA, 718 nt
Filed under: Lutibacter sp.
Lineage: Bacteria; Pseudomonadati; Bacteroidota; Flavobacteriia; Flavobacteriales; Flavobacteriaceae
Description: bacterial SSU rRNA
Rfam family: Bacterial small subunit ribosomal RNA
Source: RNAcentral